RNAcentral lists this signal recognition particle RNA (97 nucleotides) under Gammaproteobacteria bacterium. RNAcentral's name for it is "signal recognition particle sRNA small type". It matches the Rfam family "Bacterial small signal recognition particle RNA". From Rfam's summary of the family: The signal recognition particle (SRP) is a universally conserved ribonucleoprotein involved in the co-translational targeting of proteins to membranes. Archaeal SRP consists of a 7S RNA and homologues of the eukaryotic SRP19 and SRP54 proteins. Lineage: Bacteria; Pseudomonadati; Pseudomonadota; Gammaproteobacteria. The record is from RNAcentral. RNAcentral also lists the same sequence under 1 other name.
AAUCGGUCCCCUCGCAACGAAAAACUGUGAACCCGGUCAGGCCUGGAAGGGAGCAGCCGCAGCAGUGAACUCGUGUGCCGGGGUGUGGCUGAUUUGG